GAUGAACGCUGGCGGCGUGCCUAAUACAUGCAAGUCGAGCGAACAGACGAGGAGCUUGCUCCUCUGACGUUAGCGGCGGACGGGUGAGUAACACGUGGAUAACCUACCUAUAAGACUGGGAUAACUUCGGGAAACCGGAGCUAAUACCGGAUAAUAUAUUGAACCGCAUGGUUCAAUAGUUAAAGACGGUUUUGCUGUCACUUAUAGAUGGAUCCGCGCCGCAUUAGCUAGUUGGUAAGGUAACGGCUUACCAAGGCAACGAUGCGUAGCCGACCUGAGAGGGUGAUCGGCCACACUGGAACUGAGACACGGUCCAGACUCCUACGGGAGGCAGCAGUAGGGAAUCUUCCGCAAUGGGCGAAAGCUUGACGGAGCAACGCCGCGUGAGUGAUGAAGGUCUUCGGAUCGUAAAACUCUGUUAUUAGGGAAGAAAAAAUGUGUAAGUAACUAUGCACGUCUUGACGGUACCUAAUUAGAAAGCCACGGCUAACUACGUG
RNAcentral lists this ribosomal RNA (497 nucleotides) under uncultured bacterium. Its description in RNAcentral is "partial 16S ribosomal RNA". It matches the Rfam family "Bacterial small subunit ribosomal RNA", at positions 28 to 507 of the family's 1533-position model. The record is from RNAcentral.